CACACUUCCAUUGAUGUUCUUCACUCUUAUUAUCAAAAAUAUUGUCGUACUCUAGUGGAUGGAUGAUUUCCAUGUAGGGGUCACGGGUGUCAAAUAGUUCCAACUUGAAAAAUCGGCUUUAACUUACUUAGAAACAGCUCAUUGGUGUUGAGGUACCCUCGAUUGUUUAGGCUGGAACUAAGCCGAGUUGCCUUCUCCAUGAUCGAUGGAAGGUUAUUCCCACAAUAGCGAAGAUUUGUGCCUAUGACUCGACAGUGAGUAGGGAUGAACAAGAUUACCGAAAUACCAAAACUGUACCGGUAUUGAAAUUCGGUACCGAUAGGGAUUCGGUAUCGAUAUUGGUAUUUAGUUUUGGUUAUUUUUGAUUUCAGUACCAAUCGGUUCGGUACGGUUUUUUCCGACUAUCAAUACCGAAAAUAUAGUUUUGUUCAAAACAUGUUAUAAUCUUGCUGGUUGUUCUUAUUGGAUGUUAGUUUGCAAUUAAACUUUGAACUCAAAA
Long non-coding RNA from Erigeron canadensis, 499 nucleotides. RefSeq lists it as uncharacterized. The record is from RefSeq and is a predicted model, not a curated record. Lineage: Eukaryota; Viridiplantae; Streptophyta; Magnoliopsida; Asterales; Asteraceae. The transcript has 2 exons.